GUGGUAGGCAUGUGGGUAAGGGUGGUAGGCAUGUGGGUAAGGGUGGUAGGCAUGUGGGUAAGGGUGGUAGGCAUGUGGGUAAGGGUGGUAGGCAUGUGGGUAAGGGUGGUAGGCAUGUGGGUAAGGGUGGUAGGCAUGUGGGUAAGGGUGGUAGGCAUGUGGGUAAGGGUGGUAGGCAUGUGGGUAAAGGUGGUAGGCAUGUGGGUAAGGGUGGUAGGCAUGUGGGUAAGGGUGGUAGGCAUGUGGGUAAGGGUGGUAGGCAUGUGGGUAAGGGUGGUAGGCAUGUGGGUAAGGGUGGUAGGCAUGUGGGUAAGGGUGGUAGGCAUGUGGGUUAACGUGGUAGGUAUGUGGGUAAGGGUGGUAGGUAUGUGGGUAAGGGUGGUAAGCGUGUGGGUAAGGGUGGUACGGAUGGUUACAGGUGUUGUUAUUCAUUACGUACGUUAGUGGAUAACUUCAGCUGGUCUGUCUGCCUGUAGCGUGCAGAGGGAGGCACAGUGUGCUCGUCGGUGUGUGUGUAGGCCGGGUUAGUGAUGGAAACCAGGCUGGUGAGGCGUGGGUGGU
RNAcentral lists this long non-coding RNA (561 nucleotides) under Salmo salar (Atlantic salmon). RNAcentral describes it as "lncRNA (ENSSSAG00000094889.1)". Lineage: Eukaryota; Metazoa; Chordata; Actinopteri; Salmoniformes; Salmonidae. The record is from RNAcentral.